UUACCUACUGGAAGCAAUUUCAGAAAACCCAGGAAUAAUUAAGUAUACAGAAAUAGCUCUUCUAUAAAAUUUCCAUAUAAAAAUAAUGGUAUUUAUUUACAAAGUUUGAGAAUGCUACAAAAUAAUAAUCAGGUUAGAUACUUCAAUCUAAUAAAGUCUACAUUAGGCAGGUCAGAUGUGGUGUUUGCAUUUUCCCCUUAUUUCUCGUUUAAACUGCUUAAAGCAUGUGGCACCAUGAUGUUUCCUUCAUGCAGAAAAAAGCAGAACUGUAUUUUCUGGAAAUAAAACCUAUCAGCACAUGAUCAGAGUACGACAUCUACAAAUGAACAGGUGAACCAGCUGGGGAUUUGGGCUCAUGGCCUUUCUUUUUUGUCUAACAGGGUGGUGAUGGCAAGCAGCCGCCUCGAGACCUCACAGUACUGAACUGUGGGCCUCCGAGCUCCGGCGCGGCCGGUGGGUCUGCCUUUCGGGACACCAAACGGUUGAAGCCGCCACGGUUCUACUGGGAAAAACAGAACUGCAACACGCUCAGAGAAGUCUCUUAGCAGAAGAGAAUCUCGGUCCCCAGAGACUUUGGGUUUGCGAGAAAUCUUUGACCCCAGUCGUGAACACACAGAACCAUCAGGCCAUUUGCCAUUAGUGCCCGACAUGAUGAAGACACCGCAUGGGAAGUGACAACAUGGUGAGUUUGCAGCGACAAAGCGACGGGUUUUAAAACCCAAACGUGAUCCGGGGACGUCUCCUGGUUGAGACAGGCACGGACAGAAAAAAGCUAACAUUGCUACACAAGGGCCAGUUGACCUCCAACGUGCGUGAAGGGCUCUGCCCAGGGAGGAACGGGUUUCUUCUAAGCCUGGGUCUUCCGGGCCGGGACAGGCCUGAGGCUGACACCACAGCCUCUCGCCGGGACCCACGGGGGGAGUCCACUCCUGCUGCUCAGCUGUUCAGCACUUGGUGUGACAGAGCGCUGAUGCUAACCCAGAAGCCCUCUGGGAGGACCCGGGUAAGGGCUGGGUUUGUAGGAGGCAGUGGGGCCCCGGGAGGAGGGAGAUUCGGGAUGCAGGGCAGGCUCUGCCAGACAGGCUGAGGGGCAUCGGGCCGGUCACGCCCCCGGCCGGUUUCACAUGCCUGAGUGAGUGGGGAGGGUCUGCCCCUAUUCUGAGGCCCUUGGUGGAGAAGGGGCGAGUCCUGCCCCCACGUGUCCACUACGCUGGCUUCUAAGGCAGCUACAGGCAGAGGACCAGAGUCCGAUCUGCUGGAGUAGCAAGGGGUCACGACAGCAUGGAAUUCACAGGCCUUCGUGUAAAGCGAAGGCCCUGUAAGAAUACAGGAUUUUAUCUGAAAGUACAGCUGCACAGAAGUAAGCGAAUAUACUUUCUUCUGUCACAAGAGCGUGGUCAGUGAACACCUGCAGCCACUGAAACUUCUGUACUUGUCAGGGACUCCCAGGUCAGAACUGGAGGGGCAGAGUUUAUGCCCUCACCUUUUCUUCCUUAGCACAGUGUGAGUGUAGAAGUAGGUGGGAAAACGGGGUCCCGAAGGUUAUCUACGCACAGCGUUCCAGAGAGAUCUUGGCUAAUUCCUGAGAAAUGUAACUUACGUGGGCAUUAGCUUGAACUUUUUAGAAAACGGUAAAGUCAACGUCAGACACUAUUUUCCUUUUGGGUAAUAGUCUUCGGCUUGAAUGGAAGUUAAGCAAAUGAACUGAACGUUGUAUGACUGUGAAUCAGAGGGCAGGGAGGCACGUUUCUGAGGGCCGCUCAAGCGGCGUCCUGCAGGGGCCCUGGCACACCCCGUGGGUCUGGAUAAAUGUGGGAGUGAUCGUCAGUGCUGGGGGACCACUGCUUCGGGUGCCUGAAAAUGGGGAACCUAUUUGGGAAAAUGAUCCUCAGGUAGUCUUCAGCUCUGCUAAAACUAGUCCAUAUGCAGGAUAAAAGAUUCUCUUUUAUACAUCUAAUAUAAAAAGUAGACCUUUAUGUAUCUAACAACUUGUAAAACUAGAAGAAAACACCUAGAAAAGUUCUCCAUUUCUACUCACUUUCCUAUUGUGUAGGUUCAACUGGAAGGUAACAGAGCCAACAAGGAGACCUCCAUGGGUUAGAAUGUUCUCUUAGUUUAUGGCUACUGCUGGUAGCUAAGUUUGGUUUUCUUUUAUUAAUCUUAGAAAUUCCCUGACAGACUCCAAAAUGUACACCGAAAGCUGGAAGAGUGGGGCCUUUGGAAUUUAGCAGAGAUUUCCCAGUGCACGUUAUGGGGUAGGGUGGCCUGGUAGGGAGGUCUUUCAAUUGUCUGAUUCAGAACAGAAGUCACUUUCUCAGGGGGCCUUCCCCGGAUACCGCCAGCCAAAGUAGCCUUUCCCCCACUGCCCCAUGACCCUGUCAUUGUUUCCAUAGCACGAAUCAACCUGAACAUCUUCUGUCCUGUAUUCACUCAAACACUUACUGAAGGAUUAAAUCUUCCCAUUCACCGUCCAGCCCCCACCCUGCAGGGACCACUGUGGCAGUGCAGCCUUAAAGGCCACCUCACAGAUGCGCCCGAGGUGAGGGGCCUGGUGAGGUAUCAGAGGCCACUUGAAGUGACUCACGCAUGAAGCUAACCAGGCUUCUCCCCCUGUGUGUGGUUCUUGUAGGAAGAGCUGAGGCAGUUUCCUUCCUUUGCUAACCCUGCCCCACCCAUGCCCACUAUGCUCUGACGGUCCCAGGGCCCAGGUUACACCCAAACUUUGCUGUCUCUACAACCUGAGCAGCCCAGAAAGGGCUGUGUUUUACCAAACAGCCGAGUUUCUGAUGUCUGCAUGGCUAAAGUGAGCCACUCCUUUGUGGAAUUCUCUCUGCUUGAAUUACCUGCAGGGGCUCAUGUGUGCCUGGGGGCUGCCCCGGCAUCAUUUUUCAGGUAGGGCAGAGUAUGGGGACAACUGUAAAUUCUGCUAACGAAGAGAGUUAUCCUCUUUAUCCUGGUAAAGUGGCAGCCAACUGCAGACAGUUUUCUCCCCACCAUUUCUAGAAGACAGGGGUCAUUUGUAAAGUUUUGCAGGGGGGCGGGCAGCGCUGAGAGGUGAGGAAUCACCGUCUCAGCACCUCCUUUCCUGGCCCCUCCCCGAGGUCCUCCGUGAUCAUAAGGCACAGUUUAUGCCAACACUUCCUGAAGCUGCUCCCAUCACCUUGUCAUCACAGGAGAAAAUGAAGCGGGUCAGACAGACGCGCAGCGGGGAAGGGCAGGAAGUGUGGGCGGCUGCCUGGGCGCCGUGGGCACUGCCUGGACCCUCCCACAUCAGGGCCAAAGACGCCAGGCUUGGUGCCACCUGCGCGGGUGCUAAACGGAUCACGACUUCACUGACUGGGCGACACCGUGCACCGGAAAGGUUACCGAAUACACUGGCGCUUGAGGGAAAAGGGGACUCUUGAACUUCCCCCAAGCAGAGUGUAACCAGCACCCUCUGGGAGGGGUGUCCGCGUGUGUGUGUACAUGUGCGUGUGCAAAUAACCCCAAGUGCUACUCCUAUAGAGAAGCCUGGAUGUUGUAACCACAAUUUCCUUUUUUUUUUUUUCUGUUUGAUUUCUAUAUGAAAUUGUGACUGAGUAAUGAACUUCAGAACCACAUAAAUCUGUUUAGGGGAGAAGCAGAAGAAUGACAGAAUUUCUCUUUCUAAACAUCUGAGUCUAGCUUUCUGCUCAGGUAAAGCCUUACACCCGUGACAACACAUCCUGUGACCACAGUGUGACUCUGCUGGGCGUCCUCAGCAGUAACCCAAGGGUGUCACUGAGGAACGGAGGCCACUUCCUGCCAAACAAACACCACACGCUGCUCGCUGGCUGUGGAGGCCACUGAUGGGGCACCAGUAACGAAUGAAGACCUCGAGAGGGCAGCUCACUCAGUACAGUGAGAGCUGUACUAGUCCUGAACACCCGCCGAACUCAGCACAAAAGCCUCUGGCCGGGGUGUUAACAAGCUGAGCACGAGUGGGUGCAGACAAAGUCAAGUCGCAAUGUCUUAGGCCAGAAGGACAGGCACAUUUUUGCCCAAGGCCCCCAGCACGCCGUCCUUUCGUGCCCCCUGGUGAACUCAGUGCUAUUAGGCACCAGAGGCCUAGUCUUCUUCCUGGUACCCUCUGCUUUACAACUUGAACUAGACCUUAUUUUAAAAGGCCACGCACAGUCGCGUUUUUCAUGAGGGCGAGACAGGCGUUGCUGUUUUAGUCUGUAUGAAACAUUUUGGCUACGUCCUUGCAAUCUCAUUUUCUAUGCAUUUACCAUAGUUUUCCUAUCACGACCGUGACCAAUUCUUAUUGUACUUCGACUUGUUUAACGCUUGUCUCCUUAUCUAGAAUGUUAGCUCAGAGAAGGCAGUGACUGGAACAUCUGAGAUCUGUUACCGCACGAAGGAGUACCAUCUCUUUCAACGGACCCACACAACGGUUCUCACAACCCUCAAGAGCCACCCUGUCCCUCCACAUACUGAAGGCACACACGCUUCUGCUUCUGAACUAACCUGAAAGUCUGUAUCCCGGUCUGCAAACAAGGUCACGAAGAGAUCAAAGCCACAGAGCCCGCCUAAUCGCCCUGAGUCUUUUCACUGAGAAUGAGCUAAAAUAAAGUCCUGGUGAUUUAUGGA
Molecule: long non-coding RNA, 4611 nt
Organism: Orcinus orca (killer whale)
Lineage: Eukaryota; Metazoa; Chordata; Mammalia; Artiodactyla; Delphinidae
Exons: 3
Source: RefSeq, a predicted model, not a curated record